RNAcentral lists this ribosomal RNA (440 nucleotides) under uncultured bacterium. Its description in RNAcentral is "partial 16S ribosomal RNA". It matches the Rfam family "Bacterial small subunit ribosomal RNA", at positions 338 to 795 of the family's 1533-position model. The record is from RNAcentral.
CCUACGGGAGGCUGCAGUGGGGAAUAUUGCACAAUGGGGGAAACCCUGAUGCAGCGACGCCGCGUGAGUGAAGAAGUAUCUCGGUACGUAAAGCUCUAUCAGCAGGGAAGAAAAUGACGGUACCUGACUAAGAAGCCCCGGCUAACUACGUGCAAGCAGCCGCGGGAAUACGUAGGGGGCAAGCGUUAUCCGGAUUUACUGGGUGUAAAGGGAGCGUAGACGGCAGCACAAGUCUGGAGUGAAAUCCCGGGGCUUAACCCCGGAACUGCUUUGGAAACUGUGCGGCUGGAGUGCAGGAGGGGUAAGCGGAAUUCCUAGUGUAGCGGUGAAAUGCGUAGAUAUUAGGAGGAACACCAGUGGCGAAGGCGACUUUCUGGACAGUAACUGACGUUGAGGCACGAAAGUGUGGGGAGCAAACAGGAUUAGAUACCCUAGUAGUC